This 497-nucleotide ribosomal RNA is filed under the name uncultured bacterium. RNAcentral's name for it is "partial 16S ribosomal RNA". It matches the Rfam family "Bacterial small subunit ribosomal RNA", at positions 28 to 507 of the family's 1533-position model. The record is from RNAcentral.
GAUGAACGCUGGCGGCGUGCCUAAUACAUGCAAGUCGAGCGAACAGACGAGGAGCUUGCUCCUCUCACGUUAGCGGCGGACGGGUGAGUAACACGUGGAUAACCUACCUAUAAGACUGGGAUAACUUCGGGAAACCGGAGCUAAUACCGGAUAAUAUAUUGAACCGCAUGGUUCAUUAGUGAAAGACGGUUUUGCUGUCACUUCUAGAUGGAUCCGCGCCGCAUUAGCUAGUUGGUAAGGUAACAGCUUAUCAAGGCAACGAUGCGUAGCCGACCUGAGAGGGUGAUCGGCCACACUGGAACUGAGACACGGUCCAGGCUCCUACGGGAGGCAGCAGUAGGGAAUCGUCCGCAAUAGGCGAAAGCCUGACGGAGCGACGCCGCGUGAGUGAUGAAGGUCUUCGGAUCGUAAAACUCUGUUAUUAGGGAAGAACAAAUGUGUAAGGAACUAUGCACGUCGUGACGGUACCUAAUCAGAAAGCCACGGCUAACUACGUG